RNAcentral lists this long non-coding RNA (715 nucleotides) under Setaria italica (foxtail millet). Its description in RNAcentral is "long non-coding RNA (SITA_LNC000227)". The record is from RNAcentral. Lineage: Eukaryota; Viridiplantae; Streptophyta; Magnoliopsida; Poales; Poaceae.
UGGUUGCUGAGGGCUCUCUUGGCACGCUCAGCUUCCCUCCUCAACUUUCCAAGAGCACGGUUGUCCUUGCUGAUGUCCUUGCUGUACUUCUUCUUGAUCAACUUGAUGAAGUACUCCAUGAUCCUCUGGUCAAAGUCCUCACCUGAAGAGAUGGUACAACUCAGUAUCAAUCAUGCCAACAACAAUGCAAGCACACAGCAAAUGAGCUGACAAGUUGCUCAGAUUCAAGGUAAAUACAACAUGUAUUGAUGACGAAUGAUGAAUUUAUCUCAAAUCAGUGCAUGUAUCAUAAUACUAUUUCAAUGCAGGUAGUUUGCAUACAAUUAUCAUGAUGUCUGAAAUCAUAGCAUAAGCCUAUGAAUGUAUGGCAUUGUCAUGAUUUUAUGCUAUGUCAAUGUUAAAAUACAAUCAACUAAUAAGGUGACAGCAGUAAUCAGCAGCUUAGAUGCGUUGGUAGUCACUAGUCAGCUAGCUUAUUGACAAAAACAUUUCACUCACCUCCAAGAUGGGUGUCACCGUUGGUGGCAAGCACCUCAAACACACCGUUGUCAAUGGUCAAGAUGCUGACAUCGAAAGUACCACCACCAAGGUCAAAGACAAGGAUGUUCUUCUCGCCACCCUUCUUGUCCAAACCGUAGGCAAUAGCAGCAGCAGUUGGCUCAUUGAUGAUCCUAGCAACAUUGAGGCCGGCAAUGACACCAGCAUCCUUGGUCGC